RNAcentral lists this small RNA (1444 nucleotides) under Oryza sativa Japonica Group (Japanese rice). RNAcentral's name for it is "sRNA Os07g0446400". Lineage: Eukaryota; Viridiplantae; Streptophyta; Magnoliopsida; Poales; Poaceae. The record is from RNAcentral.
AGGUUCCCAGCUCACACCUGCGUCACUCUCACGCGGGUGGCUCGGGGGCUAAACCUUAGCCGCGCUCGCCACCACCUCCUCACUCCUCUCACUGCCUUGCCGUCGCUAGAGCCCACCAUCGGAAACCACGCGGUCAGCUAAGAACGCAGCGGCGGGGAAACUGAGCCAGCGAAGCUCCUCCUCGGCACAGGAGGCGGAGCGGAGCGUGUCGGGUGGGAGGUGGCAGCUGGCGGAGCGGUGCACAUCGGGCGGGGGAUUCUCCGGCUUGAGGCGGUGGAUCCGGCCCCGCCCCGACUAGAUCCGGUUCCCCCGUGGCCAGACCCAGUGCCCCCGCGCAGAUCUGGCCGGGGAGCAGCCGGCGAGGGUGGCUGUGUGUGGUGGGGGUGACAACGCGCAGUGGGAGCCCAUGGACGGCUUCGCGUGGACGGCACCGAUGGCAGUGGAAGGCCGGCUCCAGUAGCUGGCAGUGGAUGUGUCGACAAUGCUGGGUGGAGGCUCGUGGCCGGCGAGUGCAGCAUGGAGGUGGCGUGAGGCCGACGGCGACGGUAGGCAGCGCGACACGAGUUUAUGUGGCUGGGGGCAGCGGGAGGCCGAUGCGGCGUGAGUUUGCGUGGUUGGCAGCGGGAGGUUAGUGUGGCACGAGGAUGCGUGUUGGAGGCCGACAUGGAGCGCGCGACGAGGGUGGUCGUGUGGCAGCCCGCGGAGGCUGGCUGAUAGGGGGCAUCGGUGCAGCAGUGCCCAUGCGCCGACGAUUGAUUUAGAUGGUGAUGAAGCAAGGGUGUAUCAACUAUCGAUAGGCAGGCGACGGGUGAAAACCUAGCCCUGUUUUGGCCGGGCUGGCAACGAUGGCAUUUCGGGCAUCACUUCCCAUCUUGAGGACUUUGUCGUGCCAUCUUCUCUAGCAAGGCUGUAGGGUGAGAACCUAGUCUUGGUUCUCUUUGAGACCUUGAUGGACAGUGGAGGCGGUGCUUCCGUCACUCCUCUCCUUGGAGACAUCGUCUAGGCAGCCCCCUUGCCGAAACCUCCCAGACAAACUAGUCCAAGCUCGCUCUAGACUCAUGCCCUCUUGUGGCGGCGCUCUAGCUUAUACAAGUUGGCCAUGUCAGAGGGCUUAGGGGGGAGGGGAGCGGUUCCAUUCUUCUCUCGCACCCUCUCUUCCUCAAUCCUGAAGAUGUGGCUUGAGUGGAGUUUGGUGUCGGUUGUUAGGGUUACGAUUUAGGCGAUCCCACUUCUAUACCUUUGUUGCCCUAGUGGCGGCCGGUCACGUUUAGCGGCGACUGAUUCGGUGCUAGCCUUCUCCUGUGUCUAUGUUCUGGAGCUGUCAGUGUGUGGGUGGUGGUUAUUUUCUUCUUUUUCUUGGAUACGAUCUUCCACGGUUGUAAUCUUGUAAUUUUUUCCUGCUCUAUCAAUAUGAACUUCGCGCUGUCCGGUGCAAGUUCUUCGG